GACGAACGCUGGCGGCGCGCUUAACACAUGCAAGUCGAACGGAAAGGCCUGCUUUCCCUUGUGGAUUGCGGGUACUCGCGUGGCGAACGGGUGAGUAACACGUGCGUGAUCUGCCCCCAACUUGGGUAUAAGCCUGGGAUACUGGGUCUAAUUCCCGCUAGGACUGCAGGGUGGUGCCUGUGGUGGAAAACGAUUUUCUAGUGGUUGGGGCUGAGCUGGCGGCCUAUCAGCUGGUGGGUGGGGUAAUGGCUUACCAAGGCGGGGACAGGUAGGCGGCCCGGGAGAGUGGGCGUGCACAGGGAGACGGAGAUACGGCCAAGGCGCCUACGGGAGGCAGCAGUGGGGAAGAAGGCGCGGUGAGCGGAAGCCUGAGGCAGCGACGCCGCGUGAGCGAUGACGGGCGUCGGAUGGUAAACUCCUGGCUGCCGAGAGGAAUCCACCUGGUUGGAGGGGUAGUGACGGUAGUGGUAGAAGAAGCACCGGCUAACUACGUG
RNAcentral lists this ribosomal RNA (494 nucleotides) under uncultured bacterium. RNAcentral's name for it is "partial 16S ribosomal RNA". It matches the Rfam family "Bacterial small subunit ribosomal RNA", at positions 28 to 507 of the family's 1533-position model. The record is from RNAcentral.